GGAGGAAUUUGGCUAUCAUAAAGUUAAACCACACUACCUAUGAUGUGUGCGAUGGGAAAAGAAUGGAUAUAAGAUGAAAGUCAGAGAAGGUGGAGAAGGAAAAGAAGAUACAAGAGAAUGAUCAAGGCUGUGAAUUCUCUCCACACUGAUAGAUAAGGAUAACUAGACACUGAGAACAGAGACCAAAUUUCUGCGGUCCCAUCAGCUCCCAAUGUCAACAGGUAAGGGAUACCUGGACCCAAGCUCCCAGCCCAAGCUUCUGCAGUCAUCUUCUAACUCCUGAUGCUGACAGAUACCCAGAGAAGUGACUACAGCAGGCUCAGGUCUGUGAUUUACCUGUCUCUGUGCAAGUCAAUGACAAGAAAGUAAAUAAAUGGUGCAA
Peromyscus maniculatus bairdii (prairie deer mouse) is the source of this 382-nucleotide long non-coding RNA. RefSeq lists it as uncharacterized. The record is from RefSeq and is a predicted model, not a curated record. NCBI's taxonomy places the organism in Eukaryota, Metazoa, Chordata, Mammalia, Rodentia, Cricetidae.